GACGAACGCUGGCGGCGUGCUUAACACAUGCAAGUCGAACGGUGAACUCCGCCUGCGGGGGGAUGAUUGGGGGACGAGCGGGUAAGAAACAGGCAAGCUGCCUUCCGCUCAGGGUUAACUAACUUAAGGAAACGCGGGUACAUGCUAUAUCGGCUCUCCUCCUGGAUGGGGGGGGGUGGGAUUUAUCGGCGGCUGGGGAUGGAGCCGCGGCUUAUCAGCUUGUUGGUGGGGUAGUGGCCUACCAAGGCGACGACGGGUAGCCGGCCUGAGAGGGUGACCGGCCACAUUGGGACUGAGAUACGGCCCAGACUCCUACGGGAGGCAGCAGUGGGGAAUAUUGCGCAAUGGGCGGAAGCCUGACGCAGCGACGCCGCGUGCGGGAUGACGGCCUUCGGGUUGUAAACCGCUUUCAGCAGGGACGAAGCGAAAGUGACGGUAACGGCAGAAGAAGCACCGGCUAACUACGUG
RNAcentral lists this ribosomal RNA (468 nucleotides) under uncultured bacterium. Its description in RNAcentral is "partial 16S ribosomal RNA". It matches the Rfam family "Bacterial small subunit ribosomal RNA", at positions 28 to 507 of the family's 1533-position model. The record is from RNAcentral.